CAUUAGGUUUUAAGCGCAUUUUAUAUGAAUCGUAUCCGAGACCUGCGUUAGGGUGGGUGACCAGAGUGCCUGCUGUAAAGGGGAGCUUAAACGAUAAUAAUUGUACUUGAUUGGGAGGGAGAGCGCAAAGGUAUGGUUCUGCCCAGGGUGCCAAUAUGUAUAGCGCCGGCACAGAUCGUAUCAAUACAAAUCGAACUAUUGUCCGUAAAAAAAAAAAAAAAAAACCAAAAAACAAUAGUUUUAUACGACGAAUUUUCGUUCGUUUCGAUUGCGAGG
Cinara cedri is the source of this 276-nucleotide non-coding RNA. The record is from the annotation of a GenBank genome assembly. Lineage: Eukaryota; Metazoa; Arthropoda; Insecta; Hemiptera; Aphididae.